This 253-nucleotide ribosomal RNA is filed under the name uncultured bacterium. Its description in RNAcentral is "partial 16S ribosomal RNA". It matches the Rfam family "Bacterial small subunit ribosomal RNA", at positions 524 to 776 of the family's 1533-position model. The record is from RNAcentral.
UACGUAGGUGGCAAGCGUUGUCCGGAAUUACUGGGCGUAAAGGGCGUGUAGGCGGCAAUCUAAGUCGGGCGUGAAAGAUCAGGGCUUAACCUUGGGACUGCGUUUGAAACUGGAUGGCUAGAGGAUCGGAGAGGGCAGUGGAAUUCCCAGUGUAGCGGUGAAAUGCGUAGAUAUUGGGAGGAACACCAGUGGCGAAGGCGACUGCCUGGACGACACCUGACGCUGAGGCGCGAAAGCUAGGGGAGCAAACGGG